Hemiscyllium ocellatum (epaulette shark) is the source of this 6397-nucleotide long non-coding RNA. RefSeq lists it as uncharacterized. The record is from RefSeq and is a predicted model, not a curated record. The transcript has 3 exons. Lineage: Eukaryota; Metazoa; Chordata; Chondrichthyes; Orectolobiformes; Hemiscylliidae.
CUUACAAAAACUUUCAUAGGAACGGUCUACUUUUGGAUAGUGGGGGAUACCUGUCGAGACCGAAAGGAUUUUACGCCUGGAGAUUUCCAGCGUCUGUAGUUCUGUGUUUUACUGUAACACAGAUUGAAACCAGCAGCUCCGAUGUUCUGGGUACCACAGGGAUGUGGCUGCAAGGGGAUCAAGGCUAGGAACUCAAUAUCCAUGGAUACGUAUCCAACUAAAAGGGCAGGAAAACUAUCCCAAUCUGCCGUAUUAAAGGAUUGCCAAAAGAAGCAAAAGUGAUGUAAGGAAGAACUGGUGGCAUUCAGAAGGGAACGAAUUCUUAUCUGAAGAGGAGCAAUCUGCAGGGUGACAUGAAGAUUGAUGGGUGCAAUUAGCUGAGUUGGCCUCAGAGUGUUGGUGACACACAAUGCGCUCUGCUCCUUCUCUGCUGAAACCUUUCUACAAUUCUAUCCCUGCUUUCUCAGGCUAGAUGUUAUGGGGAAGGCAUAUUGCGUGCCGUCUGUUCAACAACACCCCUUCCCCCACCCACCGUAAUAAAAGUCUACCACCAGAUUGUAGAAAAAGCCCCCCAGGUACCUGGUGACACCUGGUGAGUGAUCCAAUCAAACAAAGCAUGGGCUGAUUGGCCCCAGUGCAUCAGUCCCAGUAGUACCCAGAGCUCAGUGUUGGACAUUACUGAGAUUGUAAGCCCAUGAAGGAGAGUGUGAUGGCUCUCAGAUCCUGGAAUCCCUGGGCCUUUUGACCAGGUGGUGGAUUGGUUUCCUGAGGGAAGGGGUGUGGGUGGUGGGAUUGGGUUUUGCAGAGCCAGACAGGGGAUGGAAGGUGGGAGGGACUAACCCCCCCCCCCGCACAAUGGGCAUCCCUUGGCCAGUAGGAUUUUCAGGUCCAUUUUGGUAUUUUGGUAACAGGGCAGCACCUGUUAAAGCUGGCCUGGUGAGGACCCAGGGAAACUUGAAUCCAAGCAUGGGACUGCGGUAGGCCGAGUUUGUAAAUGUGACAGUGUGGAUAGAGGCCAUUCGACCCAAAGAGCACGCACCAUCCAAAGAGUGUCCCACGCAGGCCAUUCAGUCCAUCAAGCCCACACCACACUCUGAAGAGUAACUCGCCCUAUCCCUGCAACCCUGCAUUUUCCCUUGGCUAACCCACCUAGUCUACACAUCUUUGGACGGUGGAUUGGAAGCCGGAGCAUCCGGAGGGUUCCACACAGACACAAGGAGAAUUGCAAACUCCACACAGUCACCUGAAGGUGGAAUCGAACCUGGGUCCCUGGCACUGUGAGGUGGCAGUCCUAAUCACUGAGCCAUCAUGCCACCCUAAUGCCUGAGUGCACUACCUGAGAGGUUACCUUACAACCUUUAAAAAAGAACGUGAAUUUGGAUCAGAAAUGUCUGAACAGUCAAUGCUAGGGGCCAAGUGCUGAAAACUGGGCUGAGUUGAGAUGAGUUGGCACAGACUUGAUUGAAGGUCCUCUUCUGUGCUGUAUAAUAAUGUGGAAUGUUGUGUAUCAGAAUGAGAUAUUGUGCUGUAAAUGUGAAGCAGUGAAUGUGGGAAUUGGCUUGUAAGUUAUGUUCUCUUAAAGGAUAAGAGAAUUUACAAGAGAGAUUUUAAAGAGAGUUUACGAGAAUGCAGUUUAAAAAUGAAAACGUGGUUCAGUGGUUAGCACUACUGCCUCACAGCACCAGGGACCUGGGUUCGAUUCCAGCCUCAGGCGACUGACUGUGUGGAGUUUGUACGUUCUCCCUGUGUCUGCGUGGGUUUCCUCCGGGUGCUCUGGUUUCCUCUCAGACCAAAGAUGUGCGGGUCAGGUGGGUUGGCCAUGCUAAAUUGCCCAUGGUGUCCAGGGAUGUGUAGGUCAGGUGGAUUAGCCUUGGGAAAUGCAGGGAUACAAGGAUGGGGUAGGGGGGUGGGUCUGGUUGGGAUGUUUUUCAGAGGGUCUGGGAAGACUCGAUGGGCUGAAUGAUGCGCUUCCACACUGUAGAGAUUCUAUGAUUUCAGGCACCCAUCACUCUCUGCGUAAAAAAUGUUUCCCUUAAAUCCCCUCUGGAUCCCAAGUGUGCUUUUACCUCCUCGACACCCCAUGUGGGACUUUGCAAAUCUAUUUCAACUACAACCCAAAAUAUUACACACUGAUUGUAUGACCCCACUAUAUCAUACACUGUGAGCCACAAUAUCCCAGUAUUAUGUAAAUUCUAUUGGACUGCACCUUUAUAAUAUUAACUGCAUCAUUAUAGCAUUGUCGCUGUAUAUAAGUCAUACUAUUAAAAUCAGCAAAUGACCCUCCUACUAAGUAGCUACCUUACUCCGUCUUCACAGCACAAGAUAUCAGAGAUAAAAAGGCAAAUUAAAAUAUGUUAAGGGAAGGAACCAACUAUUAUUGAUGCACAGAGAAAUUAAUGAGAUUAAAGAUCAUCAAAUCUCUAGGACACAUGCCUUAGAGUGAAUGAGGAAUUAUUGAUGACAUAAAGAACUCUUUCUUGAUUCACGAUUUGUGCCCUUGGAUGGGAAAGUUAUUCCAUUAUUGCUAACUUUUUUAACAAUCCUAUUUUUAUUCAUUUUCACUCUGUCCAUUAUCCCUGCAAACACCUAUCUUACAGCAACAUUGAUAACCUUCUCUCUACAGAAGGCAGGUGCAGCUACUGAGUUAGCAUCUUGGUCCUUGUCCUGAGUCAGCUCUGCCCUUCCUUUAACCACCCCUUGAGUGCCCAUGUCUUUAUAAAAAGUCUUUCAGCUUCCCUUUUGUGCUGACUGCUAAUCUAGCCUCACGUUCUGUUUGUCGCGUGACAUCUUCACACUUUCGAUAUGCAGCUGGCUUCGCUACAACUUGUGAAUCGAACAAAUCUGCAGCUGAUCCUGAGCUGAGUAAAGAGUCUCGGUGAGUGGCUGCAGUGAAUAACACAACACUGCUGCUAGAUUCUCCCUAGUUUGAGAUGAUCAGUGUUUAAUCCUUGUGUAGAACAAAUGUUACUUGCCACUUAUCAGCUCAACCCGAAAAUUUGACUUCUCCACCUCCUGACACUGCCUGGCUUGCUGUGUUCUUUCAGCCUCCAUACGGUCUACCUUGGAUUCCAGUAUCUGCAGGGUUUUUUUGUCUGUAAUUGAUCAGCCCAAGCCCAGAUUUUGCUGUAUACGGACCUGGACUGUUACAGUAGUGAGGAGUUACAGAUGGUGCUGAACAUUGUGCAAACAUCAAAACAACAUUCCCACACUAGUGUUCGUGGUAUUGAUGGUUUGUAAGUUUGCUAUUUGUCCUUCAGUCACAUGUAUGAUACUGAAUAUCUAAUUUUCACGAAACUAAAGAAAAUCUUCAAUUGGGUAGAUGGAGAGAAACUAUGUCCUUUGGGGGGGGGUUCCAGAACCGGAUUUGGGAAACAGCUUUCAAAAUACAGGGGGGGUGGAUACAUUAACAGCAGAAACACCACAAAAUACCCAGGAAAUUCGAUCAUGAGACGAUCAAUAUGAUCACAGGGGGACCGAUCUAAUCAUGGGACGAUCAAUAUGAUCACAGGGGGACCGAUCUAAUCAUGGGACGAUCAAUAUGAUCACAGGGGGACUGAUCUGAUCACAGGGGGACUGAUCUUAAAUACGGGGCAAUCUUGGGAUGACCAAUCUGAUUACGGGGGGAUCAGUCUGACCACAGGACAAUCAAUCUGUUCGUGAGGUGACCAAUCUAAGGAGGGAGCAGUCAAAUUACCUGAAGAGCUGUUCCUUCAAUCACAGACAGGUUCGCUCCCAUGCUUGUUGCUGAUAGGCUAUAGUGAGCCUAUCAGUUACAAACAGGAGAGAAGCAGUUGGAUUCCUGAAGAAGGUUUAGACUGGAAACAUUGACUUCUCCAACUCUUGCUGCUGCCUGGCCUGCUGUGUUCCUCCAGCCUCCUGCGUGUUUCCUUGUGAUUGGAGGAGUAAGUGAGGCUGUAAGGUCUGGGUGGUGGUUGUGGGAUAGGGACAGAGGCUGCAAGUUGGAGAGCAGAGCUUCAGAGGGAGUGAGGGAUGACAAUGUGUGGAGGGACCUGUAAAGGUUAGUGAGAGACUGCGCAGGGGAGUGAGGCAGCUGUUAGAGACAAACAUGGAAACUGUCUACCUUCAAUCUCACUGGUCUGGGGCAUGGUGUGUUUAAGGCAAUGGCUUUUUGUGUUCAGAAAUGCGUGUUGAUUAUUUAUUUUUGAAAUAAGACCUUUCUUGCUAACAUAUAUGCUUUGCAUCGAUUAUCUCAUGUAUGGUGGCUUUAAUUUUAACAGAGUAGUAAUGGUUAUUGAGAGGGAUUCAUCAGGACCCUCAAUCUGCUGAUGUCUGUGUCUAUGUAUUCCAAAUGUUAGCAUAAACUUAGAAGGUUUACUGUACAACUACAUCACCUGACAAAUGAGGUAAUGAGGAUUAAAGAAGAGCCCUGAAAACAAAACGCAGCCCUGAACAUAACUUCAAAAGGGACCCUCGACAGAAAAAGAUCAAUCAGCCUUCAGAGAACGUUUCCUUGAAGUUAGAGCUGGGCUGUUCAGGGUGAUGUCAGGAGGCACAGAGGAAGUGGGAAUCUGGAACCUUUCCUCCUGAAAAUACUGUUGAAGCCGGGGAUUGAUGGAAAGUUUUGACCCUGAGAUUGUGUAAUAAAAACAUAUCCAAAGUUCUCCAAUUUCAGUGCUACGUUUAGAUAGAGAUCACAAGAAUUAAAAUAGCAUUAGGCCUCUUGGUCCCUCAAUUCUGCUCUGUGCUUGGUAAAAGGAGGAACACGGCACCUACAGGCAGAGUCAAAACAAUGUGAAACUUGAAAGGGUUCAGAAAAGGUUUACAAGAAUGUUGCCAGGAUUGGAGGGUUUGAGCUACAGGGAGAGGCUGAACAGGCUGGGGCUGUUUUCCCUGGAGCGUCGGAGGCUGAGGGGUGACCUUAUAGAGGUUUACAAAAUUAUGAGGGGCAUGGAUAGGAUAAAUAGGCAAGGUCUUUUCCCUGGGGUGGGGGAGUCCAGAGCUAGAGGGCAUAGGUUUAGGGUGAGAGGGUAAAGAUAUAAAAGAGACCUAAGGGGCAACAUUUUCGCACAGAGGGUGGUAUGUGUAUGGAAUGAGCUGCCAGAGGAAGUGGUGGAGGCUGGUACAAUUACAACAUAUAAGAGGCAUCUGGAUGGAUAUAUGAAUAGGAAGGGUUUGGAGGGGUAUGCGCCAUGUUGAAGGACUUCCUCAUAAGAACAGCAGACAGCGCUCAACUCAUCAAUUCCUAGUUCUGACCUGCCACAGCGAAAAUCCACAAUAACCUCCCCACAAAACAGACCCUAAGACAUAGGAGUGGAAGUAAGGCCAUUCGGCCCAUCGAGUCCACUCAAUCACGGCUGAUGGGCAUUUCAACGCUACUUACCUGCACUCUCCCCAUAUCCCUUAAUUCCUUGCGAGAUUAAGAAUUUAUCAAUCUGUGCCUUAAAGACAUUUAACGUCCCGGCCUCCACUGCACUCCAUGGCAAUGAAUUCCACAGGCCCACCACUCUCUGGCUGAAGAAAUGUCUCCUCAUUUCCAUUCUAAAUUGACCUCCUCUAAUUCUAAAGCUGUGCCCAUGGGUCCUAGUCUCAUCGUCAAACAGAAAUAUCUUCCCAGUGUCCAUCCUUUCUAAGUCAUGCAUUAUCUUGUAAGUUUCUAUUAGAUCUCCCCUCAACCUCUAAACUCUAAUGGAAUACAAUCCCAGGAUCCUCAGCCGUUCAUCAUAUGCUAGGCCUACUUUUCCAGGGAUCAUCCGUGUGAAUCUCCGCUGGACACGCUCCAGUGCCAGUAUGUCCCUCCUGAGGCGUGGGACCCAAAACUGGAGACACUAUUUUAAAUGAGGCCUAACCAGAGCUUUAUAAAGUCAGCAACACAUCGCUGCUUUUACCUUCCAACCCUCUUGAGAUAAAUUACAGCAUUACAUUUGCUUUCUUAAUCACAGACUCAAUCACAGACAUUGGACAUGACCAAUUGGGUAUCCUUCAUCAUCCAGUCCCUCCCCAGUGUGGAGAAACUACACCAUGUUCUUCGCACCCUCACCUUGAUAGCUUGUUAUGACCUCUCUACCUUAAUUGGUUUGUAGAGUUUUGGAUGACUUGCUACUUUGGUUAGACCCUCGCCAUGAGAUUCCUAUACCUAUCGCAUUAUUCUGGCCAUUUGGUUUGUUUCCAGUUCCACCUUAUUUUUAAUGUUUUGUAAAUAUCUCUCUGCCUCAGUUAAUGAGAUUAUAGGUCGUCCUUUCACUUGUUAUUCUGCUGUUGACACUUGACUCACACUGUCCGACUCCCCUGAUCACCUGCAGAGUCUUCUAUUCAGCCUGGUGACACUCCACUCACACCAUCUGUACAACCUUUUGUUCCCUGCGCCGGUACAAUAUGUGCCUGUGUGCUCAUUAUACUCCAAAAGCUUGUGAUUUCAAAUAAACCUGUUGGACUAUAA